RNAcentral lists this ribosomal RNA (2619 nucleotides) under Escherichia marmotae. RNAcentral's name for it is "partial 23S ribosomal RNA". It matches the Rfam family "Bacterial large subunit ribosomal RNA", at positions 323 to 2925 of the family's 2925-position model. Lineage: Bacteria; Pseudomonadati; Pseudomonadota; Gammaproteobacteria; Enterobacterales; Enterobacteriaceae. The record is from RNAcentral.
UGUGUGUUAGUGGAAGCGUCUGGAAAGGCGUGCGAUACAGGGUGACAGCCCCGUACACAAAAAUGCACAUGCUGUGAGCUCGAUGAGUAGGGCGGGACACGUGGUAUCCUGUCUGAAUAUGGGGGGACCAUCCUCCAAGGCUAAAUACUCCUGACUGACCGAUAGUGAACCAGUACCGUGAGGGAAAGGCGAAAAGAACCCCGGCGAGGGGAGUGAAAAAGAACCUGAAACCGUGUACGUACAAGCAGUGGGAGCCUCUUUAAUGGGGUGACUGCGUACCUUUUGUAUAAUGGGUCAGCGACUUAUAUUCUGUAGCAAGGUUAACCGAAUAGGGGAGCCGAAGGGAAACCGAGUCUUAACUGGGCGUUAAGUUGCAGGGUAUAGACCCGAAACCCGGUGAUCUAGCCAUGGGCAGGUUGAAGGUUGGGUAACACUAACUGGAGGACCGAACCGACUAAUGUUGAAAAAUUAGCGGAUGACUUGUGGCUGGGGGUGAAAGGCCAAUCAAACCGGGAGAUAGCUGGUUCUCCCCGAAAGCUAUUUAGGUAGCGCCUCGUGAAUUCAUCUCCGGGGGUAGAGCACUGUUUCGGCAAGGGGGUCAUCCCGACUUACCAACCCGAUGCAAACUGCGAAUACCGGAGAAUGUUAUCACGGGAGACACACGGCGGGUGCUAACGUCCGUCGUGAAGAGGGAAACAACCCAGACCGCCAGCUAAGGUCCCAAAGUCAUGGUUAAGUGGGAAACGAUGUGGGAAGGCCCAGACAGCCAGGAUGUUGGCUUAGAAGCAGCCAUCAUUUAAAGAAAGCGUAAUAGCUCACUGGUCGAGUCGGCCUGCGCGGAAGAUGUAACGGGGCUAAACCAUGCACCGAAGCUGCGGCAGCGACACUAUGUGUUGUUGGGUAGGGGAGCGUUCUGUAAGCCGUUGAAGGUGGCCUGUGAGGGUUGCUGGAGGUAUCAGAAGUGCGAAUGCUGACAUAAGUAACGAUAAAGCGGGUGAAAAGCCCGCUCGCCGGAAGACCAAGGGUUCCUGUCCAACGUUAAUCGGGGCAGGGUGAGUCGACCCCUAAGGCGAGGCCGAAAGGCGUAGUCGAUGGGAAACAGGUUAAUAUUCCUGUACUUGGUGUUACUGCGAAGGGGGGACGGAGAAGGCUAUGUUGGCCGGGCGACGGUUGUCCCGGUUUAAGCGUGUAGGCUGAUUUUCCAGGCAAAUCCGGAGAAUCAAGGCUGAGGCGUGAUGACGAGGCACUACGGUGCUGAAGCAACAAAUGCCCUGCUUCCAGGAAAAGCCUCUAAGCAUCAGGUAACAUCAAAUCGUACCCCAAACCGACACAGGUGGUCAGGUAGAGAAUACCAAGGCGCUUGAGAGAACUCGGGUGAAGGAACUAGGCAAAAUGGUGCCGUAACUUCGGGAGAAGGCACGCUGAUGGUAGGUGAAGCGACCUGCUCGUGGAGCUGAAAUCAGUCGAAGAUACCAGCUGGCUGCAACUGUUUAUUAAAAACACAGCACUGUGCAAACACGAAAGUGGACGUAUACGGUGUGACGCCUGCCCGGUGCCGGAAGGUUAAUUGAUGGGGUCAGCCGCAAGGCGAAGCUCUUGAUCGAAGCCCCGGUAAACGGCGGCCGUAACUAUAACGGUCCUAAGGUAGCGAAAUUCCUUGUCGGGUAAGUUCCGACCUGCACGAAUGGCGUAAUGAUGGCCAGGCUGUCUCCACCCGAGACUCAGUGAAAUUGAACUCGCUGUGAAGAUGCAGUGUACCCGCGGCAAGACGGAAAGACCCCGUGAACCUUUACUAUAGCUUGACACUGAACAUUGAGCCUUGAUGUGUAGGAUAGGUGGGAGGCUUUGAAGUGUGGACGCCAGUCUGCAUGGAGCCGACCUUGAAAUACCACCCUUUAAUGUUUGAUGUUCUAACGUGGACCCGUGAUCCGGGUUGCGGACAGUGUCUGGUGGGUAGUUUGACUGGGGCGGUCUCCUCCUAAAGAGUAACGGAGGAGCACGAAGGUUGGCUAAUCCUGGUCGGACAUCAGGAGGUUAGUGCAAUGGCAUAAGCCAGCUUGACUGCGAGCGUGACGGCGCGAGCAGGUGCGAAAGCAGGUCAUAGUGAUCCGGUGGUUCUGAAUGGAAGGGCCAUCGCUCAACGGAUAAAAGGUACUCCGGGGAUAACAGGCUGAUACCGCCCAAGAGUUCAUAUCGACGGCGGUGUUUGGCACCUCGAUGUCGGCUCAUCACAUCCUGGGGCUGAAGUAGGUCCCAAGGGUAUGGCUGUUCGCCAUUUAAAGUGGUACGCGAGCUGGGUUUAGAACGUCGUGAGACAGUUCGGUCCCUAUCUGCCGUGGGCGCUGGAGAACUGAGGGGGGCUGCUCCUAGUACGAGAGGACCGGAGUGGACGCAUCACUGGUGUUCGGGUUGUCAUGCCAAUGGCACUGCCCGGUAGCUAAAUGCGGAAGAGAUAAGUGCUGAAAGCAUCUAAGCACGAAACUUGCCCCGAGAUGAGUUCUCCCUGAGACUUUAAGUCUCCUGAAGGAACGUUGAAGACGACGACGUUGAUAGGCCGGGUGUGUAAGCGCAGCGAUGCGUUGAGCUAACCGGUACUAAUGAACCGUGAGGCUUAACCUU